RNAcentral lists this ribosomal RNA (551 nucleotides) under Staphylococcus aureus. RNAcentral describes it as "partial 23S ribosomal RNA". It matches the Rfam family "Bacterial large subunit ribosomal RNA", at positions 680 to 1234 of the family's 2925-position model. The record is from RNAcentral. Lineage: Bacteria; Bacillati; Bacillota; Bacilli; Caryophanales; Staphylococcaceae.
AGUCUGAAUAGGGCGUUUAGUAUUUGGUCGUAGACCCGAAACCAGGUGAUCUACCCUUGGUCAGGUUGAAGUUCAGGUAACACUGAAUGGAGGACCGAACCGACUUACGUUGAAAAGUGAGCGGAUGAACUGAGGGUAGCGGAGAAAUUCCAAUCGAACCUGGAGAUAGCUGGUUCUCUCCGAAAUAGCUUUAGGGCUAGCCUCAAGUGAUGAUUAUUGGAGGUAGAGCACUGUUUGGACGAGGGGCCCCUCUCGGGUUACCGAAUUCAGACAAACUCCGAAUGCCAAUUAAUUUAACUUGGGAGUCAGAACAUGGGUGAUAAGGUCCGUGUUCGAAAGGGAAACAGCCCAGACCACCAGCUAAGGUCCCAAAAUAUAUGUUAAGUGGAAAAGGAUGUGGCGUUGCCCAGACAACUAGGAUGUUGGCUUAGAAGCAGCCAUCAUUUAAAGAGUGCGUAAUAGCUCACUAGUCGAGUGACACUGCGCCGAAAAUGUACCGGGGCUAAACAUAUUACCGAAGCUGUGGAUUGUCCUUUGGACAAUGGUAGGAG